GUGGAGUUGUCCCAGAGGUAAUCAGUGGUUAGUAUGGAAACAGAGAGGAAAAGGAAAGUGUCCCACAGUAUGUUUUCAUCCGGAGGCCCCUGUCUGUCCUGGAAGUUGACUGGUGGCCACAGGUGACGGCGCAGCUCUGGAAAACCGCCGGUAUGUUGUCACACAAACUCAGACACCACCUCCAGGCUUGAGCUCAAGCUUCCCUCCCUCCCAGCCUCCCUGUGCCGUGCCCAAGGCCCGGCACACACCACCACUCCUCUCGCUGUCACCUUGGAUGGAUGCAGUGGGAUGCGGCUAUGUCCUGAGGGCUCAGGGAGGUUGUCCUCCUCCGCCUCCCUCUCUCCCUCCGCCUCCUCACACAGCGCCUUCCUGCCUGUUAUCUCCAGGCGAGGAGUCUCAUCAGCCUGCACAGUAGCUCUGGCUUCCAGCCUUCUCACCACCACAGGAGCCAGGAGGGAGGCCGCUCCUAUAUAUCAGCAGACUCUCAUGUGGACGACUUCAAGGCCCCUCUCAGGCAAGCUUUCAGUCAAGCCUACAUUGAGGCACACGCACACAAAACAAACAAACAAACACACACACACACACACACACACACAAACAGUGGUUUGCAUUCAUUUUAAGAGUGUAAGAAGUGUAGAUUUUAGUGUGACACUCAGAUCGUUCCAGAGCAGCUACAAUGGAAACAUGUUCCGGUAUCUGAAAUAUGAACAAGUGUCAGUCCCUCUGAAUCAAAGACUAGGGCUCAUUCUACAUUUUAACUCUUUAACCUUAAACAGUCACGCAGGGGGGAAAUCGGUCGUGAAAGAGGCAGAGAAACCAGAUCCUCCCUAAGAGCAGCCUCAGUAGACCAGGGUCUCUAUUUAUCGAAAAGCUAAAAGUGAAAUUUUGAACUGAAGUGAAAGACCCAAGUCAAACCUUCCUGAAGAUCUCUGGUGGUACCUCCUAAAGACAGGACGCCCCUGUGGAGGAUGACUGGAGUGGCGUGUAGGACAUCCCAUAGAACAACUCUGGGAACGCUAAAUCAGUGCAAGGGCAAGGACCCUGGACACGAAACGGAGCAAACUCGGUCCACUGAGGAAGAGUGGGAGAUUAGGUUGAAGGUAUUA
Molecule: long non-coding RNA, 1106 nt
Organism: Perca fluviatilis (European perch)
Lineage: Eukaryota; Metazoa; Chordata; Actinopteri; Perciformes; Percidae
Exons: 3
Source: RefSeq, a predicted model, not a curated record